GCCUCGAUGGUGUAGUGGUAGUAGCACGCGUCCCCGGUAUGGAUAAAACCCGGGUUUGAAUCCCGCUUGAAGCC
Molecule: non-coding RNA, 74 nt
Organism: Parelaphostrongylus tenuis
Lineage: Eukaryota; Metazoa; Nematoda; Chromadorea; Rhabditida; Metastrongylidae
Source: the annotation of a GenBank genome assembly